This is a non-coding RNA of Chlorocebus sabaeus (green monkey), 325 nucleotides long. The record is from Rfam. Lineage: Eukaryota; Metazoa; Chordata; Mammalia; Primates; Cercopithecidae.
GCCGGGCGCGGUGGCUCAAGCCUGUAAUCCUAGCACUUUGGGAGGCCGAGACGGGCGGAUCACAAGGUCAGGAGAUCGAGACCAUCCUGGCUAACACGGUGAAACCCCGUCUCUACUAAAAAAUACAAAAAACUAGCCGGGCGCGGUGGCGGGCCACUGUGGUCCCAGCUACUCGGGAGGNNNNNNNNNNCCUCCCGAGUAGCUGGGACCACAGUGGCCCGCCACCAUGCCCAGCUAAUUUUUUGUAUUUUUUAGUAGAGACGGGGUUUCACCAUGUUAGCCAGGAUGGUCUCGAUCUCCUGACCUUGUGAUCCGCCCGCCUCGG